This is a non-coding RNA of Pelobates cultripes (western spadefoot toad), 218 nucleotides long. Lineage: Eukaryota; Metazoa; Chordata; Amphibia; Anura; Pelobatidae. The record is from the annotation of a GenBank genome assembly.
GCCAUCCUGGGGGGGAAAAGAGAAUUUAUUGUAUUCUUUUUGUAGCCAUGGAUUCUGGAGGCCUUGUUUACUUCCUUACACUUUAUGGGGAGAUGAUGGGAGCUGAAACUACUCAAACUGAUGGGUCCUUUCCUUGCAAGCCCUGUUUGAUGUUGAUGUCUCUUCUUUAGUGACCAAAACUUUUAUAUAAAGUUUGAUAUUAGAUUCAGAUCCAUGGC